ACCUUGUUACGACUUCUCCUUCCUCUAAGUGUUAAGGUUCACAAAACUUCCCAUUUCGGGCACGAACGCGCCACAAAACGGUCCGAAUAAUUCACCGGAACACUCAAUCGGUAGGAGCGACGGGCGGUGUGUACAAAGGGCAGGGACGUAAUCGGCGCAAGCUGCUGACUUGCGCCUACUAGGCAUUCCUCGUUGAAGAUUAAUAAUUGCAAUAAUCUAUCCCCAUCACGAUGCAUACUCACAAGAUUACCUAGACCUAUCGGCCAAGGUUAUAAACUCGUUGGAUGCAUCAGUGUAGCGCGCGUGCAGCCCAGAACAUCUA
Molecule: ribosomal RNA, 322 nt
Filed under: Toxoplasma gondii ME49
Lineage: Eukaryota; Apicomplexa; Conoidasida; Eucoccidiorida; Sarcocystidae
Description: Toxoplasma gondii rRNA TGME49_459910
Source: RNAcentral